This 468-nucleotide ribosomal RNA is filed under the name uncultured bacterium. RNAcentral's name for it is "bacterial SSU rRNA". It matches the Rfam family "Bacterial small subunit ribosomal RNA", at positions 1035 to 1502 of the family's 1533-position model. The record is from RNAcentral.
CAGGUGGUGCAUGGUUGUCGUCAGCUCGUGUCGUGAGAUGUUGGGUUAAGUCCCGCAACGAGCGCUACCCUUAUCGUCCGUUACUAACGCGUAAAGGCGAGGACUCAGACGAGACCGCCGGGGACAACUCGGAGGAAGGUGGGGACGACGUCAAAUCAUCAUGCCCCUUACGACCUGGGCUACACACGUGCUACAAUGGGUACAACAAAGAGAAGCGAGACCGCAAGGUGGAGCAAAACUCAGAAAAGUACUCUCAGUUCAGAUCGUGGGCUGCAACCCGCCCACAUGAAGUUGGAGUUGCUAGUAAUCGCGGAUCAGCAUGCCGCGGUGAAUACGUUCCCGGGCCUUGUACACACCGCCCGUCACACCAUGGGAGUUGGGAGCGCCCGAAGCCAGUGAGGUAACCGAAAGGAGCCAGCUGUCGAAGGUGAGACCAAUGACUGGGGUGAAGUCGUAACAAGGUAACCA